Molecule: ribosomal RNA, 1732 nt
Filed under: soil metagenome
Description: bacterial LSU rRNA
Rfam family: Bacterial large subunit ribosomal RNA
Source: RNAcentral
UCGUAUUUUUGGGGUUGUAGGGCUCAUGACAUGGUAUUUCGAGUUUUAGUUUAAUAACCUGGGAAGGUUAGCGAUACAGGGUGAUAGCCCCGUGAACGAAAAGAUUAGAAAACCUAAUGAGUACCUGAGUAUGACCGGCCACGUGAAAUCCGGUCUGAAUCUGGGGGGACCACCCUCCAAGGCUAAAUACUCGUCGAUGACCGAUAGUGAACCAGUACCGCGAGGGAAAGGUGAAAAGAACCCCUGCUAGGGGAGUGAAAUAGAACCUGAAACCAACAGCUUACAAACGGUCGAAGGCCUAUGCCCUUUUUAAGGGAAUGGCUAACGGCGUGCCUUUUGCAUGAUGAGCCAGCGAGUUGCGUUAAAUGGCAAGGUUAAGGGACUGAAAACGUUCUGGAGCCGAAGCGAAAGCGAGUGUUAACAGCACGAUUAAGUCAUUUGAUGCAGACACGAAACCAAGUGAUCUAUCCAUGGUCAGGAUGAAGCAAGGGUAAUACCUUGUGGAGGUCCGAACUAGUAACUGUUGAAAAAGUUUUGGAUGAACUGUGGAUAGGGGUGAAAGGCUAAUCAAACUUGGAGAUAUCUUGUUCUCUCCGAAAUAACUUUAGGGUUAGCCUCGACGUUAACUUCUUGGGGGUAGAGCACUGAAUUCACUAGGGAGACGCAAGUCUUACCGAAGGAAAUCAAACUCCGAAUACCAGGAAGCUAGUCGGGAGAUAGACUGUGGGGGAUAAGCUUCAUAGUCAAAAGGGGAACAGCCCAGAUCGCCAAUUAAGGCCCCUAAUUCUAUGCUAAGUGAGAAAGGAAGUGAAGUUUCAAAGACAGUUGGGAUGUUGGCUUAGAGGCAGCCAUCAUUUAAAGAGUGCGUAACAGCUCACCAAUCGAGAGACUUCGCGCCUAUAAUAUACGGGACUCGAAGCAUAGAGCCGAAAUUGCGGAUGUAUACCCGCGAGGGAUAUACGUGGUAGGAGAAGCGUUGUAUGUGCAACGAAGAUGUACCGUAAGGAGCAUUGGAGCGCAUACAAGUGAUAAUGCAUGGCAUGAGUAAACGAUAAAGAAAGUGAAAAUCUUUCUCGCCGAAAAAUCAAGGUUUCCAGGGUAAAGCUCGUCUUCCCUGGGUCAGCCGGUCCCUAAGCCAAGGCGGAAACGCGUAGGUGAUGGGAAGCAGGUUAAACAUUCCUGCGCCGCCGUAGAUUAUACGACGGGGUGACAAAAUAAGUUAAGCGUGCGGACCAUUGGAUGUGUCCGUUUCGAGAUGGGGUGGGCCACUAGGUAAAUCCGGUGGCAUAAAGCUCGGUCUUGGACAAGGGGAAUCUUCGGAGGAACCGAUGACGUAGCGCGAUAUUUUCAAGAAAUAACCCCUAGUUUUCGAAGGCGACCGUACCAAAACCGUCACAGGUGAUUAGGAUGAAUAUUCUCAGGCGCGCGAGAUAACUCUCGUUAAGGAACUCUGCAAAUUACCCUCGUAACUUCGGGAAAAGAGGGGCCGGAAACCGUCAUUGACUUCGCGUCAAGAAGCGGAAUCUGGUCGAAGCAAAAUGGCCCAGGCGACUGUUUAACAAAAACACAGCACUAUGCAAACACGUCUAAGUGGAAGUAUAUGGUGUGAAGCCUGCCCAAUGCCAAAAGGUCAAAAGGAGGUGUUAGCAGCAAUGCAAAGCACCGAAUUUAAGCCCUGGUGAAUGGCGGCCGUAACUAUAACGGUCCUAAGGUAGCGAAAUUCCUUGUCGGG